RNAcentral lists this ribosomal RNA (430 nucleotides) under Giardia muris. RNAcentral's name for it is "bacterial SSU rRNA". It matches the Rfam family "Microsporidia small subunit ribosomal RNA", at positions 18 to 392 of the family's 1311-position model. Lineage: Eukaryota; Fornicata; Diplomonadida; Hexamitidae. The record is from RNAcentral.
CGGAGUACUACGCUACCCCCAAGGACAAAAGCCAUGCAAGCGGACACGAGGUAUGAAGUGGCGGACGGCUCGGUACAACGGUACGAGUCUGACCGGGGGUGAAGGCUAGACGGAUACCGCUGGCAACCCAGCGCCAAGACGAGUGCUCAAGAGCGGGGAAGGAAAGCACGCGAUGGAGCGAAUGCCCGGAUGAGGUUCCGAGGUAUUACCUAGUCGGUAGAGUAGUGGUCUACGGAGGGGAUGAUGCCUGGCGGAGGAUCAGGGUUUGACUCCGGAGAACGGGCCUGAGAGACGGCCCGUACAUCCAAGGACGGCAGCAGGCGCGGAACUUGCCCAAUGCGUGAAGGCGUGAGGCAGCAACGGGGGAUCCCAUGAAAUGGGAAGACUGGGGGGUAGAUGACCCCAGCACAAGUCGAGGGAAAGUCUGGUG